RNAcentral lists this non-coding RNA (111 nucleotides) under Paenibacillus sp. P22. Its description in RNAcentral is "epsC RNA". It matches the Rfam family "epsC RNA". Lineage: Bacteria; Bacillati; Bacillota; Bacilli; Caryophanales; Paenibacillaceae. The record is from RNAcentral.
AGGUAAUGCCUCCUGCACCUCUAUCACUGGAGACACUCGGUCAUGCUGUGGGUUAUGAGACCUUAGACGUUCAUCGUCGGGGGCAUGAUGUGAGGGCGGGUUGGAUGCCCC